Chrysemys picta bellii (western painted turtle) is the source of this 858-nucleotide long non-coding RNA. RefSeq lists it as uncharacterized. Lineage: Eukaryota; Metazoa; Chordata; Testudines; Emydidae. The record is from RefSeq and is a predicted model, not a curated record.
CUCAUCAAUUAUUGGGAGUGAACUACAUCCACCCUGAUUGAAUUGGCCCUGUCAACACUGCAUCUGGUCUUCAGAGCCGAUCGGUUGCUGGUAUGCAUGUGCCCUCAGUGAUAAGUAUACAUUGUGUGGAGGCAUCAGCAUCAAAGGAGUUCAUAUAAGAUGGGGAGGGUCCUCCAAUUCUACCAAUUGUACCCUGCUAUAACAAAUACCACACAGGCAGUUUUCAAACCAUGUUCUGCGGGAACGACCUCUAGGGACAACUGGAGUUCAGUCUCUAUGGUCCAUUCCAUCACUGGACUCUAAUGAUACUACCAGUUAGAGAUAACUGAACAAUUAGUUUUAUGAUAUUGACUCCUGCCUGCAAAAAUACAAAACAAAAACAAAACUACAACACACUUGCCCUGCAAAGUCAUUUCACUUAAGGAGCCAAAGAGGCAUCAAUUGGUAAUUACUUCUAGCCAGUACAGAGCUGAGAUUGAUUCGAACUGCCAAAUGAGAGGUGAAACAGUCAGUUUAGAAGUGAAAGUCUGUCCCAUAUUCCCAAUCCUCUGAGCCAUCUGGCUUCCCAUGUAUUUUUGUAUUGGGGUGGGGGUGUAUAAAUGGGGGUUGGAUUAAUAAAGAGCUGUGGCUCAGGCCCAAGAAGAGAUAAAAUGUUAAUAAAAACCUUGUUUACUUCUACAAACAUUACAAAGUUGGGGUUCAACAUUGUGUGAUAUGUUAGCAAUAGCUUACCCCUAUUGUAAGAACCACCAUUAGUAACUUUUUCUUAAACAUGUAGAAAGAAGGGGGUGGGGAGAGAGUUAAUGCAUGUGAAACUUAAAAAGUGAAAUAAAAACUCCAUUUUAACAAUUUCCCCUA